Molecule: long non-coding RNA, 1358 nt
Organism: Felis catus (domestic cat)
Lineage: Eukaryota; Metazoa; Chordata; Mammalia; Carnivora; Felidae
Exons: 3
Source: RefSeq, a predicted model, not a curated record
UCCUUCCGACACCUCCCACCGUGGGUUAAAUGUUAGUUUCCCCUCUUCUUAAGUCCCAGAAAGCUUUUUACAAGCCUCUCCUGUUGAUAUGUAACAUUUCACCUUGGAGUAUAGAGGAGGAGUCGGCAAACCUUUUCUGGAAGGACCAGAGAGUAAAUAUUUUGGGCUCUGCGGCCCAUACAGUCUCUGCCACAACCACUCAGUCGUGCAGUUGUAGCCCCGAAGGCAGCCUGAGAGAACGGUGACUCAUUAUUUCCCCCUCCAAAGCCCUAGGAAGGCACAAAUCCCCCCACAUGACCGGCAGGGAGCUAGAGGGGACCUCCACGGCCCGUCCGAGAACAUUAAUUCCUCGGUGGUUGAUCUGCUGACGCAAGUCUUGAAGACACAAGGAAGUGGCUCAGGAAGAACCCCCAGGGUGUGCUCCGUCUUCCCUGCAGGUGUGUUUCCUACGUGACAACCAUCCUCUGGCUGUUUCACCUCGGCUGGAAGCAGCCACAGGGCUGUCUCCGAUGACAGGUGAGCGCUAGCUUCUCUCUACUCCCUAUGGAGUCCCGGCUGCAGCAACGGCAGAACGUACGCCACGACGUCCUGCAAUCAAGACAAUCCCGUAAGUAAAGAGAAGAGACAGCCCAAACCAAAGGGCAGUGGCGAAACGGAAGGCUGAGAAACAGAAGACCGAUUUGGCUUCUAAACUUUGCCCUCUGCCCGGAGCUCAGUGACUGCACUGCUAUCUGUAAAGGAAGCCCCAGGACAGCCACGCGGGGAGCUCACGCAGACCAUGCCUCCCUCACCCAAGUCCAGAGACCAGAACCGGCUGAGACUAAGUUCCACGUAUCCAUAUGGUCUACCACGGGCCAAGGGCCUCACCUGCACUUUGCUACAUUAAUAUGAUUAUGAUCGUUAUUCCUAGCGCUACCCGACCGCCACUCCCAUUUCAUAGCUGGGAAACGGAGGGGGGCGAUUACCGUGCAAGUCUGCUGGCUGGCGAGGCUGUGCUCGCUUUCCUUCACUGCGGUGCCUCUGCCGGUCCUAGCAAACGGGGAAAGUCCUGCACUAGUUCAGGGUAAUUACCAACGAGCUCAGGGCCCCCCAGACCUUCCUGGGUGGCUGUCCUUCAGCCAAGAAAUUGAUGGGAGCAAUUCUCACACACCCGCAAAAUUCAAGCCCGGUAUUUCUGCCGCCUCCCGAGGCUGAGCUAUCACUUGCUGUUUCCUUGUUUUAUCCUGAUUGUUCCCUAAAGCAAUAACAAUUGUCUACAGAAACACCAUGAAUCCCGCUGGCAAAGUCCAAACAAGAAUGGAGCAUGAAAGAUACCUGCCCCCCAGAAUCAGAAAUUAUUCCACGAGCCCUACAAGAAG